GGGUUGUGAGGUUAAGCGACUAAGCGUACACGGUGGAUGCCCUGGCAGUCAGAGGCGAUGAAGGACGUGCUAAUCUGCGAAAAGCGCCGGCGAGGUGAUAUGAACCCUUGACCCGGC
RNAcentral lists this ribosomal RNA (117 nucleotides) under Kosakonia sp. H7A. Its description in RNAcentral is "partial 23S ribosomal RNA". It matches the Rfam family "Bacterial large subunit ribosomal RNA", at positions 1 to 108 of the family's 2925-position model. Lineage: Bacteria; Pseudomonadati; Pseudomonadota; Gammaproteobacteria; Enterobacterales; Enterobacteriaceae. The record is from RNAcentral.